AUACGGAGGGGGCUAGCGUUGUUCGGAAUUACUGGGCGUAAAGCGCGCGUAGGCGGACCAGUCAGUCAGGGGUGAAAUCCCGGGGCUCAACCCCGGAACUGCCUUUGAUACUGCUGGUCUUGAGUUCGAGAGAGGUGAGUGGAAUUCCGAGUGUAGAGGUGAAAUUCGUAGAUAUUCGGAGGAGCACCAGUGGCGAAGGCGGCUCACUGGCUCGAUACUGACGCUGAGGUGCGAAAGCGUGGGGAGCAAACAGGAUUAGAAACCCCAGUAGUCC
RNAcentral lists this ribosomal RNA (274 nucleotides) under uncultured bacterium. RNAcentral's name for it is "partial 16S ribosomal RNA". It matches the Rfam family "Bacterial small subunit ribosomal RNA", at positions 523 to 796 of the family's 1533-position model. The record is from RNAcentral.